Molecule: ribosomal RNA, 250 nt
Filed under: uncultured prokaryote
Description: partial 16S ribosomal RNA
Rfam family: Bacterial small subunit ribosomal RNA
Source: RNAcentral
CACGUAAGUUGCGAGCGUUGUUCGGAAUUAUUGGGCGUAAAGGGUAUGUAGGCGGCUGUGAAAGCUUGGUGUGAAAGACAGGGGCUCAACCCCUGGACUGCAUUGAGAACUGCACGGCUAGAAUUACUGAAGGGCAGCCAGAAUUCCAGGUGUAGGGGUGAAAUUUGUAGAUAUCUGGAAGAAUACCAAUGGCGAAGGCAGGCUGCUGGCAGAUGAUUGACGCUGAGGUACGAAAGUGCGGGGAGCAAAC